Molecule: long non-coding RNA, 4493 nt
Filed under: Marmota monax (woodchuck)
Lineage: Eukaryota; Metazoa; Chordata; Mammalia; Rodentia; Sciuridae
Source: RNAcentral
GACAUUUAUACAAAACUACUGAAAAUAGAAAACAAAACUUAAAACAUUGGACUGGGGCUGUAGCUUGGUGGUAGAGUGCUUACCUCACGUGUGAGGCACUGGGUUUGAUCCUCAGCUCCACUUAAAAAUAAAUAAAUAAAUAUCAAAACAUUUCAGGUAAUGGAAAUUCUCCCUUCAAAAAGUCAUUAAGCAGAAUUAAUACUGUUAAAAUGGCCAUACUACCAAAAGCAAUAUACACAUUCAAUGCAAUCCCUAUCAAAAUACCAAUGACGUUCUUUGCAGAACUAUAAUUCAUUUGUAAGAAUAAAAGACCCAGGAUAGCCAAAGCAAUUCUAUAAGCCAUAAAAGCAAUGCUGGAGGCAUCACAAUACCUGACUUCAAAUUAUACUACAGAGCUGUAGUAACAACUGCAUGGUACUGGGAUAAAAGCAGACACACAGACCAAUGAUAGAGAAUAGAAGAUCCCAGAGACAAACCUACACAUCUAUAGUUAUCUGAUCAUUGACAAAGGGUGCCAAAAACAUACAUUGGAGAAAAGACAGACCCUCUUUAUUGGGGGGAUCAGGGAUUGAACCCAGGGUGCUCUACUACUGUGCCACAUCCCAGUCUUUUUUAAAAUUUUAUUUAGAGACAGGGUCUCACUGUGUUGUUAAGGACUUUGCUAAGUUGCUGCGGCUGGCUUUGAACUCGUGAUCCUCCUGCCUCAGCCUCCCAAGUCACUGGGAUUAUAGGCAUGCACCACCAUGCCCAGAAAGAAGGCCCUUUUAACAAUGGUGCUGGGAAAACUGGUUAUCUAUAUUGUAGAAGAAUGAAACUAGACUUUUAUCUCUCACCCUUUUCCAAAAUCAACUCAAAAUGGAUUAGACUUAGAAAUUAGAUCAGAAACUAUGCAACUCCUAAAAGAAAACAUAGAGCUAAACAUAGGCAUAGGCAAUGACUUUCUCAAUAAGAUUCCUAAAGCUCAGAAAAUAAUGCUAAGAGUUAAUAAAUGAGAUAGCAUCAAAUUAAAAAGCUUCUGCACAGCAAAGGAAACAAUUAGGAAUGUGAAGAGAGAACCUACAGAAUGAAACCACCAUAACCCAAUUAUACCAGUCCUCAGUAUUUAUCCUAAAGAAUUAGUAUAGUGUGAUACAUGCAUACCCAUGUUUUUAGCAGCACAAUUCAUAAUAGCCAAACUAUGGAAUUUACCUAGGUGUCUAUCAUUAGAUGAAUGGAUAAAGAAAAUGUGGUAUAUAUAUAAAAACAAUGGAAUUUUAUUCCACCAUAAAGAAAAAUGAAAUUAUGUUCUUUUCAGGAAAAGGGAUGGAACCAGAGACUAUUAUAUUAAGCAAAAUAAGUCAUAUUCAGAAGCUCAAGAGACAUAUGUUUUCUCUCAUAUGUGGAAGCUAGAAAGGAAAAAGGAAAAGAAAGCUGGGGGUAGAUCUCAUGAAAAUCAAAGGGAGAUCAGUAGAGGAAACGAACCAAGGGGUAGAAGUCAGGAAAGGAGGGGGGAAGUGCUAGGUAGUGACAUUGGCCAAAUUAUAUUGUUAUAUUGUGUGCACGUAUGAGUAUGUAACAACAAAUCUCAUCAUUGUGUACAAUGAUAAUGUUCCAAUAAUAAUGUGGGAAAAAAAGAAAUGCAAAAAAAAAGUAUUUAUGAUUUCAUUUAAGUACCAACUCUUUUCAGAGGGGAAAAAAAAAGUCAUUAAGCAGAAUAAAAUUGUUAAGCAGUUUACCAACCUGAAGAGAAUGUCCUUAAACAUUUGCAGAUAAACAGCUUGAAUUGAAAAUUCAAAACUUAGAACCAAAAAUGGACAAAACACUAGAAGUUUUGAAAUGAAAGUUUAUUGAAUUCAGGAAAGAAAUCAAAGAAAAAGAGAGUUAUCUUAGAAAUAAAUUGAAUAAAUUCAGAUGAAAAUCUAUUUGACAUUGAAGAAAGAUGUAAAAACAGCUAAGAGAAUGAAAACUAAAUAUAGGAAGGGGUUUGAAAAGAAUCAGAGAAAGUAUAUUAUAGAAAGUAGGCAAAGAUGGGCUGGGGUUGUGGCUCAGAGGAAUAGCGCUCACCUAGCAUCCGUGAGGCACUGGGUUUGAUCCUUAGCACCACAUCAAAAUAAAAUAAAGGUCUUGUGUUCAUCUACAACUAAAAAAUAAAUGUUAAAAAAAAAGUAGGCAAAGAAAGCCUAACACAAAUACAUUUGGAAGACACCUUAUCAGGACAGAAUUAAUAUAUUUAAAACUAUAAUACAAGAAAACUUUAUAAAAAUAGAGUUGUAAAUAACAUCAAUGGGCUCACUGUGAUUCUAGAAAAAUUAACCCCAAAUAAUCUACUCUAAAACAUCCCGGUAAACUUUUAGACUUUAAAGAACAAGAAAAAAUAUCAGGAAUCUAUCCUUUUUCAUACUUCCCUCCCAACAAAACUUAAUCACUUCCUGGAAACAAAACAAAACAAACAACACAAACCACUCAGGUUGACAUCAGAUUUUUAAAGGCAUCAUUCAAAGGACCACAAAGGGAAUCUCCAAGACACUCAAGUACACGUGAGAUAGGUAUUUUACAGCCAGUCAAGCUAUCUUCAGAUGUGAAGCCUGUAAAAAAAUAUGUAUGCAAGAACUUAGGAAACGUGCUUACAAGCCUUUCUGAGGAAUCUAACAGAGGUGAACUUCAUCCACCUAGGAGACACAUUUUGGCACAAGGACUGUUGAUGAGCAUUGAAUGUUUAUUAAGAACCUAAGACUAAAACAAGGGUAGUAAUAAAGAUAGGAAAAUUUGUUGUAUUCUUUUUUUUAAAUUAUUUUUUAGUUGUAGUUGGACAGAAUAUCUUUAUUUUAUUUGUUUAUUUAUUUUUAAUGUGGUGCUGAGGAUCGAACCCAGGGCCUCAUUCAUGCUGGGUAAGCACUCCACCGCUGAGCCACAGCCCCAGCCCAAAUUUGUUGUAUUCUGACAAACAUAAUAAUACAAGUAAAACAAAUAGAGGAGGGAGGAAAAAAAGGAAAGUAGACUAAGUUAAUUAAUUGUUGCAAAAUAAAUAGAUAUAGCUGGGCAUGGUGGCACGUACCUGUAAUCCCUGUGGCUCAGGAGGCUGAGGCAAGAGGAUCACAAGUUCAAAGCCAGCCUCAACAAAAAGCAAGGUGCUAAGCAACUCAGUGAGACCAGAUCUCUAAAUAAAAUACAAAAUAGGUUGAGUACCCCUGAGUUGAAUCCCCAGUACCAAAAAAAUAAAAAUAAAGAUAAAUAGGUGUAAGUCAAAGGAUAUAGGAAGCUGUCAAGCUAAAUCAUAGAAUCUUGAGUAAAAGAGAAGGAAAUUAAGGACAACAGUAUUAGUAUAUAGGUAAUCACUACAAAAAAAAUAUGGAACAUUUUUCUUUUAUUUUGGGGGUGCUGGAGAUUAAACCCACAGCUUCCCACAUGCUGGGCAAGCACUGUUCCACUGAGCCUUGUUAAUUACAAUUUUAAAAAAUGUCUUAGCCAAUAUAUCAAACAAAAUUACCAAUAAUAGGACAAAUAAUUAUCAUGUGCUUCCUGAUAUCUUGUACUGAGGAAGACACAAUAUCACCUACAUAGAAUUCUUGCCAAAAAAAUAUGUAACCUGUACCCAAUCUUGAGAAAAUAUGAGAUCAAUACAAAUUGAGAUAGUCUACAACAUAACUUUCCUGAAAUAUCAAUGUCAGGAAAAAAGAAAGAGUGGUGGAAGAACUGUUUUAGAUUAAAGGAGACUAAAGAGGUGAAAAUGAAAUGCAGUAUACAUUAGAGUAUUGGGUUAAAUUAAAAAAAAUGUUAAAUUUAUUGACUGUGUUAAUCACAUUACGGUUCUAGACAGGCAUUCAUUCCUAUGGGAUGCCUCCUGAUUUAUUGAGGGGUGAAAUGUCAUGAUGAUAUCUGCAACUUUUGAUGCUCCUUGACAUUGUUUAUAUACAUGCAUAUUCAUAUAUCUCACACAUACAGAGAGGGAGAGAAAAAAUACAAUAAAAUGUUAACAAUUGAUGAGUUUAAGGAAGAUACAUAUGGGUUUCUUGUACUAUUGUCUCACUUUUUGUUUUUUUAAAGUUUGAAAUUUUCUUUAAAAAGUUGGUAGAAGAAAAUAGACAUUCUCCUAAAGAAAAAUAAUUUAUUUAGAAAAUGAACUAGACUCAGGAAAUUUAAGGCAUUUUUCUUUGACAAACUGUUUUAUCUGUUUGUGGCCAGGGGCCAAUCUUUCAAAUCCAAUUCAUAAUGAGGCCCCUGCCCCACCCAGGCCUCAUUCCCAUGACUCCUCUCAGCUCCUUCCCUUCUCCUACACUGAAGAUGUGUUGGUCUCCACUCCUCUUCCUUUAUUCAUUUGGAACAGUACAGUUUAUUUUUCCUUCUGCAAAGGAGCAUGCUCAAGUGCUGACCUGACAGUAACUGCUUUCUGCUGGAGAAGAGGCAGGAGCGCUGAAAGGGGUGCUUUUUGGUCUCUUUGAGUUGGCCUUGAUCAGUUAACAGGCCCCUUUGGUUAUGAAAAGGAACUGGAAAGGGAGAAAAGAAGGGCUUCUUAU